AAAAAUAGCAGAUGAAUAUAGAAGUGAAAUAGAAGGCUUAGAAGGGAGAUAAUGAAAUUAUGUGAUUGGGUCUUCCAAAAGCAAAGGAAUGAUCCGUUUUUUAGUUAACUGAUCUGAUGGGUCCAACAAACAAUUAAUUAUAACAAAUAUCUAAAUUCUAAAUAAAGGAUAAUAAAUAAAGGGGGUCUUCUUUUAUUCGAAACGUCUCGUGAUCUUCAACCAAUUAUGUGCUUCAAUAUAAUUACCGGGAGUAAGCGCUAUAGCCUAUUUCCAAUACUCAGCGGCUCGAUCGAACCAAGCCUCUGCAAUUUCAGAAUCUCCCUGUUGAAUGGCCUAUUUUCCCCGGCCGAAAUAGGUAGUUCAAUUCCUACCCUUAGAACCGUACUUGAGAAUUUCUUACCUUAUACGGCUCAGCAGUCAAUUCUUUUGGUGUCCCAUUUUUAUCUAUACCAUAUCUAUCUAAUUAGAUUUCUCAUGGAUCUAUGCUAGCUUUAGGGUUAACCAAAAGAAAAAUAGGUUAAUUACAUGAGUUUCAAACUGAAAUUUGGAUGAAUAAUUCGUUUAUUUAGUUUUAUCUUUUUUCCCACCUUCAGAAGAAUAAAGCAUAAUGAAUUACUAUUUUUAUUAACAGCAUUUAACCAACCCGGCAACCAAAUGCUUCGACCCGCAUUAAAUGCUGGGCCACUCAUUGAAAAUAAAACUACAUCAAACCCAUAUGAAGUUUGACCAUGAACGGAUUGUAUCCAUUGAGCAAAUAUAGGUUCAAUCAAGAUUUUCUUCUCUGGAGUGCCAAAGGCAAGCAUGACAUCAUUAUGAACAUAAAGUCCUAGGGUAUGGAACCCCAGAAAGAGACUGGCCCAAAUUAAAUGAGAUAUGAUAGCUUCUUUAUGAUCUAACAUUCUUGCCAAUACAUUAUCUUCAUUUUGAUCCUGAUUGUAAUCUCUAAUGAAAAAUAUAGCUCCAUGAGCAAAAGCUCCUGUCAUGAUGAAUCCUGCGAUAUAUUGGUGGUGGGUAUAUGAUGGAGCUUGAGUAGUGACGUCCUCUGCUAUGAAUGCAUAAGCAGGUAAAGAGUACAUAUGUUGAGCUACCAAAGAAGUAAUAACCCCUAAAGAAGAUAGAGCAAGGCCUAAUUGAAAAUGAAGUGAAUUGUUGAUUGUGUCAUAAAGACCCUUAUGUCUACGCCCCAAUCGCCCCUCAAUGGAAUAUGUGCAUCUAGAUCUUUUAUAUUGUGCCCAAUCCCGAAAUUGGUUCUAUACAUAUGACCAGCAACGAGAAAAAUAAAUACAAUAGCUAAAUGGUGAUGGGCAAUAUCAGUCAACCAUAAACUUUGCAUUUGUGGAUGGAAUCCCUCGAGAAGAGUUAGAAUGGCAGUUCCUGCCCCUUGGGCGGUACCAAAUAAAUGAGUACUUGAAUCGGGGUUUUGAGCAUAAAGAUUCCAUUGACCUGUAAAAAGUAGGCCUAACCCUUCGGGAUGUGGUAAUACAUCUAAGAAAUUAUUCCACCGAAAAUACUACCCUUUGGAUGCAGGAAUAGCAACAUGGACUAAAUGUCCUAUCCAAGCCAAGGAACUUAUGCCAAAAAGUCCUGACAAAUGAUGAUUCAGACGAGAUUCGGCAUUUUUGAACCAGGAAACGCUUGGUUUCCAUUUUAGUUGUAGGUGUAACCAACCUGCUAUUAAGGAUAUGGCAGAAAGAAAUAAUAGAAAAAGAGUGCCAGUAUAAAGAUCUUGAUUAGUGCGUAAACCAAUUGUAUACCACCACUGAUAAACACCAAAAUAAGCGAUAUUCACUCGGCCAAGAGCACCCCCUCGAGUAAAAGCUUUCACGGCCGAUUGACCAAAAUAAAGAUCCUAAAUUACAUGAGCAACAGGUCUUACAUGUAAAGGGUCUUGUACCCACGACUCAAAAUUUACUUGCUAAGCUACAUGAAACAGAUUUCCGAAAGUCCACAGAAAAAUUAUAUCUAAUUGACCGAAAUGAGAAGCAAAAAUAUUCUGAUAAAGACAUUCCUCAGUAAUAUCAUCAUGACUCUCGAAGUUAUGUGCGGUGCAAUACCAAACUAAAUACGACGAGUAGUGGGGUGCUGAGCUAAACCUUGGCUAAACCUUGAAAAUCGUAAUGCCAUAAUGCUUUUCAAAUACUCCUAGCCAUUAUACUACUGCAAUAAUUCUUGCUAAGAAGAAUGCCCAUGUUGUGGCAAUUUCACCCAGAAGGUAAUGGGUUACUCCUACAGCACGUCUUUGUAUAAUGCUCAAGGCUCUUGGCUGAGUAGCAAGAGCAAAUUUUAAUUAUUAUGAGCCCAAACGAUGGAUUCAGUAAGUUCUUGCCAAUAACCACAUCCGCUGAAUAGAAAUAUUAAACUAAAAGCCCAGACAAAAUGAGCGCCUAGGAAAAAAAGGCCAUAUGCGGACAAUGAAGAACCAUAAGACUAAAUUAGCUGGGAUACCUGUGCCCAUAAGAAAUCGCCGAGCCACCCAUUAAUAGCAAUAGAACUCUGCGCAAAGUUUCCUCCCAUGAUAUAAGUUACUACCCAUUGAUCACUUACACCACCCUAAAUAUCUAAUUGCAUUUUCCAACUGAAAUGGAAUAUUACUACAAAAAUUGAAUUGUACAACCAGAAUAGUCCUAAGAAGACAUGAUCCCAGGCCGAUACUUGACAUGUACCCCCUCUUCCAGGUCCAUCACAAGGAAAACAAAAACCAAGAUUUGCCUUAUCCAAUAUUAAAGGAGAACUGUGAGCAAAUAGAACACCUUUUAAGAGUAUCAAUACUGUCACAUGAAUCAUAAAUGCAUGAAUGUGAUGUACCAAGAAAUUAGUGGUUCCUAAUGAAAUAGGCAACAAAGCCACCUUGCCACCCACUGCCACUAAAUCACCACCCCCCACGUUAAACUGGUGCUUGCUGUUGCACCAGGGGCCAUUGCACUAGGUGCUAAAGCAUGGGUGUUUUGUAUCCAUUGAGCAAAAACGGGUUGUAAUUGUAUAGCGGUAUCUGAAAAAAUAUCUUCAGGAAUCCCUAAGGCGCUCAUGGUAUCAUUAUGAAUAUACAAACCAAAAUUGUGAAAACCUAGAAAUAUACAUGCCCAGUUGAGAAGGGAUAUGAUUGUAUCACGAUGCCUAAGGACACGAUCUAAUAGAUCAUUGUACCGAGUAGUUGGAUCAUAAUCUCUUACCAUAAAAAUGGCUGCAUGAGCGGCAGAACCAACUAUGAGAAAUCCACCAAUCCACAUGUGAUGUGUGAACAAUGACAGUUGUGUAAUAUAGUCAGUAGCUAGAUAGGGAUAAGGGGGCAUAGAAUACAUAUGAUGAUCUACAACAAUCGUUAAAGAGCCUAACAUAGCUAAGUUAAGAGAUAAUUAAGCAUGCCAUAACAUUGUUAGGUUCUCAUAUUGGCCUUUAUGGCCCUAACCUAUAAAUGGACCUUUAUGGGCUUUUAAAAUAUUUUUCAGUCCAUGACCAAUACCCUAGUUGGUCUUAUACAUGUGACCCACUAUCAGGAAAAGAAUUGCAGAGCUAAAUGGUGAUGGGCAAUAUCAGUUGUCCACAAACCCCCAGUUAUUGGAUCUAAUCCUCUACGAAAAGUAAGAAAGUCAGCAUAUUUUGACCAAUCCAAGGUGUAAAAUGGGGUUGCUCCCUCGGCAAAACUGGGAUAAACUUGAGCCAAAAGAUCUCGAUUCAAGAUAAAUUCAUGAGGAAGUGAUAUCUCUUUAGGAUCUACUCCAGCAUUUAGAAAUUGGUUAAUCGGUAAAGAUACGUGUACUCGAUGCCCCGCCCAACAGAGAGACCCAAGUCCUAGCAGCCCUGCCAAAUGGUGAUUCAGCAUAGAUUCUAUAUCUUGAAACCAAGCCAUUUUUGGCUCCACUUUAUGAUAAAGAAACCAACCAGCAAAAAGCAUUAAUGCUGCAAAGACCAAUGCCCCAAUUGCUGUACAAUAGAGUUGUAAUUCACUAGUUAUUCUAGAUGCUCGCCAAAUCUGAAAAAAAACUAGAGGUUAUUUGUAUUCCUCGGAAACCCCCGCCUACGUCACCAUUUAAUAUUUCUUGGCCCACUAUUGGCCAAACCACCUGGGCACUAGGCCCAAUGUGAGUUGGAUCACUUAGCCACGCUUCAUAAUUAGAAAAACGAGCACCGUGGAAAUACAUGCCGCUCAGCCAAAGAAAGAUGAUGGAGAGUUGACCGAAAUGUGCACUAAAUACUUUUCGAGAGAUCUCCUCCAAAUCACUGGUAUGGCUAUCGAAAUCGUGAGCAUCAGCAUGUAGGUUCCAGAUCCAAGUGGUAGUAUCAGGCCCUUUAGCUAUUGUUCUUGAGAAAUGACCCGGUCUGGCCCAUUCCUCGAAAGAAGUUUUUACGGGAUCCCUAUCUACCAAAAUUUUAACUUCUGGUUCCGGCGAACGAAUAAUCAUUGAGUCCUCCUCUUUCCGGACAACACAUACAAAGAGACCCGCCAACAGUCAAAUAAUUAGUGAACCUUAGAGAUAGAGAGAUAUUUCUAUAAUUAGUUCGUUUCUCUUCUAUUUUUCUAUCUCCCAUCUAUCUAUUUUCUUUAGUUAUUUACUAGAGCAAUUAUGAUCUAGAAGUCGAUCCGGGGCAAGUGUUCAGAUCUAUUAUGACAUAGCCUUGAGGCGCUCAACGGACCCUUUAACCUUUUAAAAACCUUUUUGGGCUUUGGAUUGAUCCAAAAACGACUUUUUUGUGCAACCUAGUGUAUAUUCAUAGAAGUUAUUAGAUGGAGCUCUUUAAUUUUUUACCUAGAAGAUUGUAAUUACUCUAUUCCAAAUCACGCUAGUAGCCAUUAGACAUUACUAAGAGACAUCCCCGGUAUAUAUAUAUUUAGUGAUUCAAGGGUUUCUUUUAUUAGUUUUAAUACUAAUAACUAAUAAGAAUUUUGUUUAAUUGAAUUUUUUCAUUUUAAUAUUUUUUAAUUUUAAUUUUAAUAUAUUUUAAUUUUAAUAUAAAUAAAUAAUUUUAAUAUAUUAAUAUAAAUAAAUAAAUAAUAAAUAAAUAGAAUAAAAAGAAGUCUAUUUUGUCCUCUAUCUGUCUUUUUUAUUCCUAAAAAAUAGCAGAUGAAUAUAGAAGUGAAAUAGAAGGCUUAGAAGGGAGAUAAUGAAAUUAUGUGAUUGGGUCUUCCAAAAGCAAAGGAAUGAUCCGUUUUUUAGUUAAUUGAUCUGAUGGGUCCAACAAACAAUUAAUUAUAACUAAUAUCUAAAUUCUAAAUAAAGGAUAACAAAUAAAUGGGGUCUUCUUUAAUUCAAAACAUCUCGUGACCUUCAACCAAUUAUGUGCUUCAAUAUAAUUAC
RNAcentral lists this long non-coding RNA (5294 nucleotides) under Capsicum annuum. Its description in RNAcentral is "long non-coding RNA (CANN_LNC020324)". Lineage: Eukaryota; Viridiplantae; Streptophyta; Magnoliopsida; Solanales; Solanaceae. The record is from RNAcentral.